RNAcentral lists this ribosomal RNA (429 nucleotides) under Actinomycetes bacterium. Its description in RNAcentral is "Actinobacteria bacterium partial 16S ribosomal RNA". It matches the Rfam family "Bacterial small subunit ribosomal RNA", at positions 355 to 776 of the family's 1533-position model. The record is from RNAcentral. Lineage: Bacteria; Bacillati; Actinomycetota; Actinomycetes.
UAGGGAAUCUUCCGCACUGUGCGAAAGCCUGACGGAGCUACGCGGCGUGAGGGAUCAAGGUCUUCGGAUCGGUACACUCUGUUAUUAGGGAAGAACCCAUGUGUGCGACACUAUGCACGUCUUGACGUUACCUCAUCGUAAAGCCGCGCACAGCUACGUGCCCGCACCCUGUGUCAUACUGAGGUGGCAAGCGUUAUCCGUCAUUAUUGGGCGUAAAGCGCGCGUAGGCGGUUUUUUAAGUCUGAUGUGAAAGCCCACGGCUCAACCGUGGAGGGUCAUUGGAAACUGGAAAACUUGAGUGCAGAAGAGGAAAGUGGAAUUCCAUGUGUAGCGGUGAAAUGCGCAGAGAUAUGGAGGAACACCAGUGGCGAAGGCGACUUUCUGGUCUGUAACUGACGCUGAUGUGCGAAAGCGUGGGGAUCAAACAGG